UACAGAGGUGGCAAGCGUUGUUCGGAAUUACUGGGCGUAAAGGGCGCGUAGGCGGCCUUCUUAGUCGGACGUGAAAUCCCCGGGCUUAACUCGGGAACUGCGUCCGAUACUGGAAGGCUGGAGUUCGGGAGAGGAAUGUGGAAUUCCAGGUGUAGCGGUGAAAUGCGUAGAUAUCAGGAGGAACACCGGCGGCGAAGGCGGCUUGCUGGACGGCAACUGACGUUGAGGCUCGAAAGCGUGGGGAGCAAACAGG
RNAcentral lists this ribosomal RNA (253 nucleotides) under uncultured bacterium. Its description in RNAcentral is "partial 16S ribosomal RNA". It matches the Rfam family "Bacterial small subunit ribosomal RNA", at positions 524 to 776 of the family's 1533-position model. The record is from RNAcentral.